RNAcentral lists this long non-coding RNA (419 nucleotides) under Vigna radiata. Its description in RNAcentral is "long non-coding RNA (VRAD_LNC014949)". The record is from RNAcentral. Lineage: Eukaryota; Viridiplantae; Streptophyta; Magnoliopsida; Fabales; Fabaceae.
CAAGAAUUCUUUUAUCCAAGCUCUCGGCUUCAGGGGGAGAAACAAAAUCAUGUUGAAUCCUCAAUCUUUUGCUUAGUUUUCCAACACCAUACCCUUGCCAAAAAUUGAACCAUGUCAAAUUUCACGUCAGUUUGACACUACCAGUCCAGUCACCGCAAACACGAGUCUGUCAAUUACAGCUAUCCCAAACACGAGUUAGUCAAGUGUCCCAAACAUGAAUCCACAAAUGGUCCCAAACACGAGUCCAUGUCCAAUAGAAGCAGAUAGAGCUCAAUCACAUAUUUAAUUUGAGUUCUUGACUUCUGACACUGAGCAACAUGAAAAGCAACCAGGUAUUAUUAAUUUAUCUCAAGUUCCUAAUUUUAAUGAUACUAAUGUGGAUCUCCCAAAUGCACUAAAGAAACAAUCUUGAUCAUGCG